This 18-nucleotide transfer RNA is filed under the name Galaxias oliros. RNAcentral's name for it is "partial tRNA-Phe". The record is from RNAcentral. RNAcentral also lists the same sequence under 1 other name. Lineage: Eukaryota; Metazoa; Chordata; Actinopteri; Galaxiiformes; Galaxiidae.
UAGAAAGCCCCGCAAGCA